AAUAUUAGGGUGCAUCAUCUGAUUAUACACUAUACUCCCUAUUCCCUCUCUCUUCUCUACUUUCUUCUGCACACAUUUCUGCACCCCCUCUAACCCAAAAACUUGUUCAUAAAACCCCCAAACCUCAGUCUUUAUUACCAUCACCUAUCUCUACACCUUUAUCCAUCUCUUCCUCUCUUUUCUCCUUCUUCUUCCUAGUUCCUACUACCGUGCCACCAUAUUCUUUGUCAGAGAUCUUGUUAAUGGAGUUGAAACUACUGCUUUAUAGAACCAUGAUUUAUUUUUAUGUUCAUCAUCGGCUGUAAUUUCUUUGAUUAAUUUUAGGUAACAAAUUUCUAUCUUAACUCUGACACAAUAGUAUUGGUAUAAGUGAGGGAACGACCGAUAAUU
Molecule: long non-coding RNA, 390 nt
Filed under: Trifolium pratense (red clover)
Lineage: Eukaryota; Viridiplantae; Streptophyta; Magnoliopsida; Fabales; Fabaceae
Description: long non-coding RNA (TPRA_LNC012707)
Source: RNAcentral